RNAcentral lists this ribosomal RNA (403 nucleotides) under uncultured Eubacteriales bacterium. RNAcentral's name for it is "bacterial SSU rRNA". It matches the Rfam family "Bacterial small subunit ribosomal RNA", at positions 378 to 774 of the family's 1533-position model. The record is from RNAcentral. Lineage: Bacteria; Bacillati; Bacillota; Clostridia; Eubacteriales.
GAAGUCUGAUGGAGCAACGCCGCGUGAGUGAUGAAGGUUUUCGGAUCGUAAAACUCUGUUGUAAGGGAAGAACCAGUACGUCAGGCAAUGGACGUACCUUGACGGUACCUUAUUAGAAAGCCACGGCUAACUACGUGCCAGCAGCCGCGGUAAUACGUAGGGGGCGAGCGUUGUCCGGAUUUACUGGGCGUAAAGGGUGCGUAGGCGGCCUUGUAAGUCAGAUGUGAAAGGCUACGGCUCAACCGUAGUAAGCAUUUGAAACUGCAGGGCUUGAGUGCAGGAGAGGAGAGUGGAAUUCCUAGUGUAGCGGUGAAAUGCGUAGAUAUUAGGAGGAACACCAGUGGCGAAGGCGACUCUCUGGACUGUAACUGACGCUGAGGCACGAAAGCGUGGGGAGCAAACA